CGUUUUCGUUUACAAGUAUGAAAGCAUGAUGAUACGUACAAGUUUCGAAAAAGAGACUAAGAUUUCAUAGAAAAACCAUGGUAUAAAUAAAACGGAACGAUCACUUUUUUGGAUGUGGAUGCUCGAAAAUAAAAUUACGAAAAUGUGGUCAGUUAUGUCAACUUUGGUGUCGCAGUUUUCCAUACUCUUCAAUACUCCAUGCUAUUUUGGCGGAUUUCAGACUUGAGCCAACCAUCGUAUCAGCAAAGUUUUGCUUGUGCUGGACCUCCAGUCAUAUGAUUUGACUGAUGACCUCCUGACGUCAGCAACAAUCACAGUAUCAUCACUAAGAUAACAGCAUUCCCUGUAAUUGGAGAAACUUCCAGUGUCUGCCCAUGCCGACUGCCAUUCCAAUGUCCUCGUGUACGCCCAUGUGAAUGUGGGUGUAUUCACGAGGACUCCCGUUUACCCAAGUCCCUUCCCGGUGGAUCCUUCUGUGGAUGGAGCACCUGUGGAUGCCUGGCUGUAUUUCCCAGGCAUAAAGGUAGGAAAAAUUCAUCCC
Long non-coding RNA from Daphnia pulex (common water flea), 541 nucleotides. RefSeq lists it as uncharacterized. The transcript has 3 exons. NCBI's taxonomy places the organism in Eukaryota, Metazoa, Arthropoda, Branchiopoda, Diplostraca, Daphniidae. The record is from RefSeq and is a predicted model, not a curated record.